GGGGGCGACCUGGGUUCGACGCGGGUCGCGAAACCCGAGGUGCAUGCCGAGGCGCGGUGACCUCGUAAAUCCAGCCGCAAAGCCAAUAGCUGCCAACGACGACAGCUACGCGCUCGCUGCGUAACGAGCGCCCUCUGACCGGUGGCGUGCCUGUGCGCGCCGGGUUUCAGGGGUCGACCUGACACAGGCUCGCGGCAAGGCUCGUCCGGGGCCGCGCCGCUAAACCCCUACCGGACUCGCCGCCGGUGGACCCUGCCCGUCGGGGACCCGGCGGCUAAAGCGCAAAGACGCGGCUAAGCAUGUAGAGCCGAGGGCGGAGGGCCCGCGGACGCGGGUUCGAUUCCCGCCGCCUCCACCA
RNAcentral lists this transfer-messenger RNA (358 nucleotides) under Gammaproteobacteria bacterium. It matches the Rfam family "transfer-messenger RNA". From Rfam's summary of the family: Bacterial tmRNA, also known as 10Sa RNA or SsrA, is named for its dual tRNA and mRNA-like properties. Lineage: Bacteria; Pseudomonadati; Pseudomonadota; Gammaproteobacteria. The record is from RNAcentral.